Molecule: ribosomal RNA, 165 nt
Filed under: Burkholderiaceae bacterium
Lineage: Bacteria; Pseudomonadati; Pseudomonadota; Betaproteobacteria; Burkholderiales; Burkholderiaceae
Description: partial 23S ribosomal RNA
Rfam family: Bacterial large subunit ribosomal RNA
Source: RNAcentral
UAACCGCUGAAAGCAUCUAAGCGGGAAACUCGCCUUAAGAUUAGUCUUCCCGGGAACUUGAUUCCCCUAAAGGGUCGUUGUAGACCACGACGUUAAUAGGUCGGGUGUGGAAGUACAGUAAUGUAUUAAGCUAACCGAUACUAAUUGCCCGUGAGGCUUGACCCU